Hyaena hyaena (striped hyena) is the source of this 452-nucleotide long non-coding RNA. RefSeq lists it as uncharacterized. The transcript has 3 exons. Lineage: Eukaryota; Metazoa; Chordata; Mammalia; Carnivora; Hyaenidae. The record is from RefSeq and is a predicted model, not a curated record.
UCGAUUCUGACAAUACAGGAAGAACAGAAGUGGAGGAGGCAUGAGUUCCUCUGUUGGGAGCAAGCCGAGUGGGCAAGCCAAAUGGUAUGGAAUCCCAUUCAGCAGAGCAUCGAACCAGGAGAUCUGUGUCAAGUGGAGGAGGUGGAAUUGUGGGUCGUGGCCAUGAGAUCAUGUACUGUACCACCCAGAAGGAACCGGUCUUAAAGAUUGUCGGAAUGGCCUUCUAAAAGCAAACUGAAGCUCCAGCCGUGAGAAAGCACUCUGAGAAGGAGAGAGGCCAGGAAGCCCAUGGAAGAGCUGCUCUCUGCACCUCUGUGGAGAAGUAGAUCUGUGGGGCCAGGAGACCAUGCCUCACAGCCCUCCAACGAUAGGGAACAUAACUGAACAAGGACCCCAACUACUUCCCUCUGAAUUCUGCCACCACAUUUUUGCUAAAGUACGCUUCUUAUGGA